This 126-nucleotide small RNA is filed under the name Marmota monax (woodchuck). Lineage: Eukaryota; Metazoa; Chordata; Mammalia; Rodentia; Sciuridae. The record is from RNAcentral.
GCCAGGCACAGAGGCGCACGCCUGUAAUCCCAGUGGCUCUGGAGGCUGAGACAGGAGGGUUGCAAGUUCAAAGCCAGCCUCAGCAAAAAGCCAGGCACGAAGCAACUCAGUGAGACCCUGUCUCUA